UACAGAGGGUGCAAGCGUUGUUCGGAAUUAUUGGGCGUAAAGCGCGUGUAGGCGGCUUUGCAAGUCGGGUGUGAAAGCCCUCAGCUCAACUGAGGAAGUGCGCCCGAAACUGCAGAGCUUGAGUACCGGAGAGGAUGGUGGAAUUCCCCAAGUAGAGGUGAAAUUCGUAGAUAUGGGGAGGAACACCGGUGGCGAAGGCGACCAUCUGGACGGAUACUGACGCUGAGACGCGAAAGCCAGGGGAGCAAACGGG
RNAcentral lists this ribosomal RNA (253 nucleotides) under uncultured bacterium. RNAcentral's name for it is "partial 16S ribosomal RNA". It matches the Rfam family "Bacterial small subunit ribosomal RNA", at positions 524 to 776 of the family's 1533-position model. The record is from RNAcentral.